This 488-nucleotide ribosomal RNA is filed under the name Tripaphylus elongatus. RNAcentral's name for it is "Paeon elongatus partial 16S ribosomal RNA". It matches the Rfam family "Bacterial large subunit ribosomal RNA", at positions 1796 to 2641 of the family's 2925-position model. The record is from RNAcentral. Lineage: Eukaryota; Metazoa; Arthropoda; Copepoda; Siphonostomatoida; Sphyriidae.
UCGCCUGUUUAACAAAAACAUAGUUAAAUAAACUUUAAUGUUUUCUGCUCACUGAAAUUUUUUUAUAGCUUCAAAACUAAGGUAGCAUAAUAACUAGUCAAGUAAUUCUUGACUCGGAUGAAGAAAAAACUGAGAAAAUUUUUCUUUAAAUAAUUUCUGAAUUUUAAUUUUAAGUGAAAAUUCUUAAAUAGAUCUUUAAGACGAUAAGACCCUAAAAUCUUUAUAAAAUUUUGUUGGGACAACAAUUAAAUUUUCAAUAAUAAAAAUAUUUAUAAGUUAAAAAUGAACCUCAAUUAGGUUUUAAAAUAAAGAUCCUUUAGGGAUAACAGCAUAAUUCCUUUAAAGAGCCCUUAUCGAUAAAGAGAAUAUGACCUCGAUGUUGAAUUAAGAAAAUAAAAUUGCAAAAAAUGAAAAAUUAAUUGUCUGUUCGACAAUAAUAUUCUUACAUGAUUUGAGUUAAAAUCGACGUGAGCCAGGUUGGUUUCUAU